AGAUUGAACGCUGGCGGCAGGCCUAACACAUGCAAGUCGAGCGGCAGCACGGGUACUUGUACCUGGUGGCGAGCGGCGGACGGGUGAGUAAUGCCUAGGAAUCUGCCUGGUAGGUGGGGGAUAACGCUCGGAAACGGACGCUAAUACCGCAUACGUCCUACGGGAGAAAGCAGGGGACCUUCGGGCCUUGCGCUAUCAGAUGAGCCUAGGUCGGAUUAGCUA
RNAcentral lists this ribosomal RNA (222 nucleotides) under uncultured soil bacterium. RNAcentral describes it as "partial 16S ribosomal RNA". It matches the Rfam family "Bacterial small subunit ribosomal RNA", at positions 26 to 247 of the family's 1533-position model. The record is from RNAcentral.